AGAGUUUGAUCCUGGCUCAGAACGAACGCUGGCGGCGUGCUUAACACAUGCAAGUCGCGUGCGCAGUUGCCGUAGCAAUACGGUGAUGGGCGCACGGCGCACGGGUGCGUAACACGUGGGCAAUCUGCCCUCCGAUGGGGAAUAACCCCGCGAAAGCGGGGCUAAUACCGCAUAACAUUCCUUGGACGAUGGUCUGGGGA
RNAcentral lists this ribosomal RNA (200 nucleotides) under uncultured bacterium. Its description in RNAcentral is "partial 16S ribosomal RNA". It matches the Rfam family "Bacterial small subunit ribosomal RNA", at positions 8 to 200 of the family's 1533-position model. The record is from RNAcentral.